Molecule: long non-coding RNA, 419 nt
Organism: Chelmon rostratus (copperband butterflyfish)
Lineage: Eukaryota; Metazoa; Chordata; Actinopteri; Chaetodontiformes; Chaetodontidae
Exons: 4
Source: RefSeq, a predicted model, not a curated record
GUCGUCACAUCCUCUUUCCGUUGCUCUUCUCGCUUGAGAAACUUCUCCACGAUGAGAGCCAAGUGGAGGAAGAAGCGUAUGCGCAGGCUGAAGCGUAAAAGGAGAAAGAUGAGGCAGAGGUCAAAGUAAGCCCUCAUCCUUGCCAGCUGUGAUCCCGUCAGAGCCUCUCCAGAUGACUGAAACGUGGCUGAAGUGGAUUGUGAGCCUCCAUCGGUGGGAUAAAGACAUCAAACCUGAAUUGAGAUGACUGCUUGUUUCACGGAGCCAACUGUGGAUGUCUGACUGGAAGGUGGCAAAGACGCUGGACAAAUCUCUCAGUAUCAGAGCUACAGCUGCUUUGUUCAUGGACCAUAAUACUUAAGUUUACCCAACAAUUGUCAUGUGGUGUAUUGAACAAUAAAUGAACUGUUAAAAGUGAA